UGAAUACGAGAUGCUACGGCGUCGAAGCAGUGUAUGUCAGACUUCCAAGAAAAGCUCGCAAUGUCAUAAAUAAAGAAUGCCUGUACCAUAACCGACACAGGUGGGUAGGUAGAGUAUACUAAGGGGCGCGAGAUAACUCUCUCUAAGGAACUCGGCAAAAUAACUCCGUAACUUCGGGAGAAGGAGUGCCUUCUUUAAGAAGGUUGCAAUAACAAGAUCCAAGCAACUGUUUAUCAAAAACACAGGUCUCCGCUAAGUCGUAAGACGAUGUAUGGGGGCUGACGCCUGCCCAGUGCCAGAAGGUUAAAGAAGUUGGUUAGCUUUUGCGAAGCUGAUGACUGAAGCCCUGGUGAACGGCGGCCGUAACUAUAACGGUCCUAAGGUAGCGAAAUUCCUUGUCGGGUAAGUUCCGACCCGCACGAAAGGCGUAAUGAUUUGGAUACUGUCUCGGAGAGGGACUCGGUGAAAUAGACUUGUCUGUGAAGAUGCGGACUACCUGCACCAGGACAGAAAGACCCUAUGAAGCUUUACUGUAACUUGAAAUUGAAAUUGGACUUUAUUUGCGCAGUAUAGGUGGAAGGCGUUGAAAGUAAUCUUGCGGGAUUAGUGGAGCCAUCAGUGAGAUACCACUCCUAUAACGUUAGAUUUCUAACUUUGGAUCAUGAUCUGGUCAAAGAACAGUUUCAGGCGGGCAGUUUGACUGGGGCGGUCGCCUCCCAAAUGGUAACGGAGGCGUACAAAGGUUUCCUCUGAACGGGUAGAAAUCGUAUCUAGAGUGUAAAGGCAUAAGGAAGCUUGACUGUGAGACCUACAAGUCGAGCAGGGACGAAAGUCGGUCUUAGUGAUCUGACGGUGCUGAGUGGAAAGGCCGUCACUCAACGGAUAAAAGUUACUCUAGGAUAACAGGCUGAUCUCCCCCAAGAGUUCACAUCGACGGGGAGGUUUGGCACCUCGAUGUCGGCUCAUCGCAUCCUGGGGCGGUAGUACGUCCCAAGGGUUGGGCUGUUCGCCCAUGAAAGCGGUACGCGAGCUGGGUUCAGAACGUCGUGAGACAGUUCGGUCCAUAUCCGGUGUAGGCGUUAGAAUAUUGAGACGAGCCUUCUUUAGUACGAGAGGACCGAGAAGGACACACCUCUGGUGUACCAGUUAUCGUGCCAACGGUAAACGCUGGGUAGCUAUGUAUGGAGAGGAUAACCGCUGAAAGCAUCUAAGUGGGAAGCCCACCUCAAGAUGAGUAUUCUCAUCACGUAAGUGAGUAAGGUCACGGUAAGACUAACCGUUUGAUAGGCAUUAAGUAUAACUAUAGUAAUAUAUGAGCUGAGAUGUCCUAACAGACCGAGGACUUGAGU
Molecule: ribosomal RNA, 1349 nt
Filed under: metagenome
Description: bacterial LSU rRNA
Rfam family: Bacterial large subunit ribosomal RNA
Source: RNAcentral